Oncorhynchus kisutch (coho salmon) is the source of this 347-nucleotide long non-coding RNA. RefSeq lists it as uncharacterized. The transcript is spliced from 3 exons. The record is from RefSeq and is a predicted model, not a curated record. Lineage: Eukaryota; Metazoa; Chordata; Actinopteri; Salmoniformes; Salmonidae.
UAUAAAAUGCGAUAGUUUCUCUCUUUGGUAAUCACUUGGUAAAGUUUUACAUGAUGGGAAUAUAGGCUCCAGCCAUAGACUUUAACCAUGGAGGAUAAUAAGAGUUUAAAUGAAGAUGAUCCACAUGAUCAUCAAAGUUUGGAAGGUCAAGUCCAGAAAAUGAAGAAUGAUAUCCUGGGUUUAAACUAUCCAGAAGAUAGUGAAGUGAAGGAUCCCCUGCCUCAGAUCGAGCUGAAGGCUGUGACAAGGAGAAAAGUUAAGACCAAAAGGAGGACCAGUGCCAACAGGUCCACAGUUGAACAGAGCACUGAUAGUGAUGCGGCUGAGAGAGAUUUUGUUGAUAAUCA